CAAUAGCGUAUAUUAAAGUUGUUGCAGUUAAAAAGCUCGUAGUUGGAUUUCUGGUGGGAGCGAUCGGUCUGGCGCUUAGCGCGAGUACUUGCAUCGUCUCCGGCCAUCCUUGGGGAGAGUCUGUCUGGCAUUAGGUUGUCGGGCAGAGGAUCCUCAUCGUUUACUGUGAAAAAAUUAGAGUGUUCAAAGCAGGCUUAUGCCGUUGAAUAUAUUAGCAUGGAAUAAUAAGAUAGGACUUUGGUACUAUUUUGUUGGUUUGCGCACCAAAGUAAUGAUUAAUAGGGACAGUUGGGGGUAUUCGUAUUCCGUUGUCAGAGGUGAAAUUCUUGGAUUUACGGAAGACGAACUACUGCGAAAGCAUUUACCAAGGAUGUUUACAUUAA
Molecule: ribosomal RNA, 383 nt
Filed under: uncultured eukaryote
Lineage: Eukaryota
Description: partial 18S ribosomal RNA
Rfam family: Eukaryotic small subunit ribosomal RNA
Source: RNAcentral